RNAcentral lists this ribosomal RNA (492 nucleotides) under uncultured bacterium. RNAcentral describes it as "partial 16S ribosomal RNA". It matches the Rfam family "Bacterial small subunit ribosomal RNA", at positions 29 to 507 of the family's 1533-position model. The record is from RNAcentral.
AGUGAACGCUGGCGGUAGGCCUAACACAUGCAAGUCGAACGGCAACACAGUAAGAGCUUGCUCUUACGGGUGGCGAGUGGCGGACGGGUGAGGAAUACAUCGGAAUCUACUUUUUCGUGGGGGAUAAUGUAGGGAAACUUACGCUAAUACCGCAUACGACCUACGGUUGAAAGCAGGGGAUCUUCGGACCUUGCGCGAUUGAAUGAGCCGAUGUCGGAUUAGCUAGUUGGCGGGGUAAAGGCCCACCAUGGCGACGAUCCGUAGCUGGUCUGAGAGGAUGAUCGGCCGCACGGGAAGGGAGACAGGGUCCAGACGCCUACGGGAGGGGGCAGUGGGGAAUAUUGGACAGUGGGCGCAAGUCUGAUCCAGCGAUACCGCGUGGGUGAAGAAGGCCUUCGGGUUGUAAAGCCCUUUUGUGGGGAAAGAAAAGCAGCAGGUUAAUACCACGCGGUUCUGACGGUACCCAAAGAAUAAGCACCGGCUAACUUCGUG